Molecule: long non-coding RNA, 1011 nt
Organism: Micropterus dolomieu (smallmouth bass)
Lineage: Eukaryota; Metazoa; Chordata; Actinopteri; Centrarchiformes; Centrarchidae
Exons: 2
Source: RefSeq, a predicted model, not a curated record
ACAAGAGCCAUAUUUCUAAUAGGCAAAGAGAUUUACACAUUGCGGUCACUCCUACCAGUGUGCUACACUGCCCUCCUGUGGCCAUUGAUUCUUCCUGCUUCUCCAUGUUGUCCAGGCCUUGAGAGGCUUUUCUUUGCUGACAGACGCCAUCCAAACCCAUAUGAACUGACAGUAAACUCAUUGACUGGUCCUGUUCAGAAAGAGGAGAUUCCACAGUCAUCACUGAUCACAAGGCUCCAAGAUCUCCUCCACUACCUCAUCCGUCCUAGCAGGUGGGUCAAGCACCUGAACCUGGCUCUCCCCUGUAUUACCAAAGCUAAGGAUGAGGUUGACCGUGCCCCCUAAAGCAGGGCUGCCGGGCUCUUUGAGGACCACAAUAGAGGGUUUGGGAGACUCUGAGGAGGAGACCUCGCGGCCCCGUGGUCCAAUGCUGUUCAUGACCUCGUACCCAUCCUCUAACUGCUUCUCCUCCUGCUGCUCAGCUUGUCUGGGCGGCAGGGACGAGGGCCGGCUGUCUCCGGCUAUCUUGUCUUCGUCGGAGGUGACGAGUAUGGACUGAUGGGAUUGGUAGGCUUCUAGCUCAGGAGCUGAACUCUGUGUAGGAAGCCAUGGAAAGAAAAAUUAACAAAUAUUCACAUAUAAUAUAAAUAUUUGCCACAAUGGGAGGUAAAUAAGUACUAAAUGUGCACGUAAACAUAUUAAAAGUAUUUCCAAUGGCAGGAAACAUAUUGUGGUACUUUUUUCCCCCAGUCAGUGAGGUUUUGUGAUUUAUUAUGAUGACAAUGAUUUAUUUUUUUAUUCAGGGUAUAUUAUAUAACUUAUAUUAAGUUAUUGUUUUUUUCAAAUCAAAGAAAUGACAUAUAUGUGUGUCAAAUAUGACAUUGUUCAAAAAACAUUUUAGGUUGUUUUUCAAGUUUGUUUUUUUCCUCCCAAGUCUGUACCACACAAUACUCAUUUACCUCUCUUAAUGGAGAGCACAUUGUGGCCUCAGAAUAAAUGUUAUCUUGUGAA